AGAGUUUGAUCAUGGCUCAGGAUGAACGCUAGCGGCAGGCUUAACACAUGCAAGUCGAGGGGUAUAAGUUUUCGGAUUUAGAGAUCGGCGCACGGGUGCGUAACGCGUAUGCAAUCUACCUUUCACAGAGGGAUAGCCCAGAGAAAUUUGGAUUAAUACCUCAUAGUAUAGCUGAACCGCAUGGUUCUACUAUUAAAGUCACAACGGUGAAAGAUGAGCAUGCGUCCCAUUAGCUAGUUGGUAAGGUAACGGCUUACCAAGGCUACGAAGGGUAGGGGUCCUGAGAGGGAGAUCCCCCACACUGGUACUGAGACACGGACCAGACUCCUACGGGAGGCAGCAGUGAGGAAUAUUGGUCAAUGGACGCAAGUCUGAACCAGCCAUGCCGCGUGCAGGAUGACGGUCCUAUGGAUUGUAAACUGCUUUUGCACAGGAAGAAACAACUCUACGUGUAGAGUCUUGACGGUACUGUGAGAAUAAGGAUCGGCUAACUCCGUGCCAGCAGCCGCGGUAAUACGGAGGAUCCAAGCGUUAUCCGGAAUCAUUGGGUUUAAAGGGUCCGUAGGCGGUUUAGUAAGUCAGUGGUGAAAGCCCAUCGCUCAACGGUGGAACGGCCAUUGAUACUGCUAGACUUGAAUUAUUAGGAAGUAACUAGAAUAUGUAGUGUAGCGGUGAAAUGCUUAGAGAUUACAUGGAAUACCAAUUGCGAAGGCAGGUUACUACUAAUGGAUUGACGCUGAUGGACGAAAGCGUGGGUAGCGAACAGGAUUAGAUACCCUGGUAGUCCACGCCGUAAACGAUGGAUACUAGCUGUUGGAAGCAAUUUCAGUGGCUAAGCGAAAGUGAUAAGUAUCCCACCUGGGGAGUACGUUCGCAAGAAUGAAACUCAAAGGAAUUGACGGGGGCCCGCACAAGCGGUGGAGCAUGUGGUUUAAUUCGAUGAUACGCGAGGAACCUUACCAAGGCUUAAAUGUAGAUUGACCGGUUUGGAAACAGACUUUUCGCAAGACAAUUUACAAGGUGCUGCAUGGUUGUCGUCAGCUCGUGCCGUGAGGUGUCAGGUUAAGUCCUAUAACGAGCGCAACCCCUGUUGUUAGUUGCCAGCGAGUCAUGUCGGGAACUCUAACAAGACUGCCAGUGUAAACUGUGAGGAAGGUGGGGAUGACGUCAAAUCAUCACGGCCCUUACGCCUUGGGCUACACACGUGCUACAAUGGCCGGUACAGAGAGCAGCCACUGGGCGACCAGGAGCGAAUCUACAAAACCGGUCACAGUUCGGAUCGGAGUCUGCAACUCGACUCCGUGAAGCUAGAAUCGCUAGUAAUCGGAUAUCAGCCAUGAUCCGGUGAAUACGUUCCCGGGCCUUGUACACACCGCCCGUCAAGCCAUGGAAGCUGGGGGUGCCUGAAGUCGGUGACCGCAAGGAGCUGCCUAGGGUAAAACUGGUAACUAGGGCUAAGUCGUAACAAGGUA
Molecule: ribosomal RNA, 1472 nt
Filed under: metagenome
Description: bacterial SSU rRNA
Rfam family: Bacterial small subunit ribosomal RNA
Source: RNAcentral